This 473-nucleotide long non-coding RNA is filed under the name Mus caroli (Ryukyu mouse). RNAcentral's name for it is "lncRNA (MGP_CAROLIEiJ_G0005191.1)". Lineage: Eukaryota; Metazoa; Chordata; Mammalia; Rodentia; Muridae. The record is from RNAcentral.
AGGUUGCCUGAAUUUAAUGUCCCAUAUGUGCAGUUCCUGAAGUGGCCAGAAGAUGGUGAGCUAUUCCCCGGAAACUGAAGCUACAGAUGGCUGUGAGCUGCCUGGUGGGUGCUGGAAAUCAAACAGAGCUGUACUCCUAGCUGUGUUCCUAGCUGAUGGCAUCCCUCCUGUCUCAAGAAGGUGCUUUCUAAAGUCCCUGAUGGGGUAUGGACACACAAUCACAGGUGCCUACAGAUGCUAGAAGAUGAUGGCGGAUCCCCUGAAGCUGAGGUUAUACACAGUAGUGAUGGAAACCAAACUGGGGUUCUCUGCAAGAGCAGUAACUGCUGAGCCACCUAUCCAGCUCCCACUUUCAUACAAGUGUUCAUCUACAAACCCUCUCAAGUGAGUUUUGGAAAAUCCUACUCAAUAUGUGACACCCACCCCCACAUAGACAGUCGUGGGACCAUUAAAGGUUCUGAGGAGCCCCAGGA